ACUGUCAGGUGGGCAGUUUGACUGGGGCGGUCGCCUCCCAAAAGGUAACGGAGGCGCUCAAAGGUUCUCUCAGUACGGUCGGAAAUCGUACGUAGAGUGUAAAGGCAAAAGAGAGCUUGAUUGCAAGACAUACAGGUCGAGCAAGGAUGAAAAUCGGACUUAGUGAUCCGGUGGUUCUGCGUGGAAGGGCCAUCGCUCAACGGAUAAAAGCUACCCUGGGGAUAACAGGCUUAUCUCCCCCAAGAGUCCACAUCGACGGGGAGGUUUGGCACCUCGAUGUCGGCUCAUCACAUCCUGGGGCUGUAGUAGGUCCCAAGGGUUGGGCUGUUCGCCCAUUAAAGUGGUACGCGAGCUGGGUUCAGAACGUCGUGAGACAGUUCGGUCCCUAUCCGUCGCAGGCGUAGGAAAUUUGAGAAGACCUGUCCUUAGUACGAGAGGACCGGGAUGGACGUACCUCUGGUGUACCAGUUGUCCUGCCAAGGGCAUGGCUGGGUAGCUAUGUACGGAAUGGAUAAGCGCUGAAAGCAUCUAAGCGCGAAGCCAACUUCAAGAUAAGAUUUCCCACCGCAAGGGUAAGACCCCAGAAAGACUAUCUGGUUGAUAGGUCGAAGGUGUAAGUGCAGCAAUGUAUUUAGCUUAUCGAUACUAAUAGGUCGAGGACUUGACCAA
Molecule: ribosomal RNA, 669 nt
Filed under: Clostridioides difficile
Lineage: Bacteria; Bacillati; Bacillota; Clostridia; Peptostreptococcales; Peptostreptococcaceae
Description: partial 23S ribosomal RNA
Rfam family: Bacterial large subunit ribosomal RNA
Source: RNAcentral